Molecule: transfer RNA, 147 nt
Filed under: Anopheles melas
Lineage: Eukaryota; Metazoa; Arthropoda; Insecta; Diptera; Culicidae
Description: tRNA tRNA-Tyr
Rfam family: tRNA
About the family: Transfer RNA (tRNA) molecules are approximately 80 nucleotides in length.
Source: RNAcentral
CCUUCGAUAGCUCAGUUGGUAGAGCGGUGGACUGUAGAAAGUUUAAGGAGUUUGGUCAACUUAGAAAUGCAUGUUUACAGUGCUUCUGAGGAUCAUGUGCAUCCAAUAGAAAUCCAUAGGUCACUGGUUCAAAUCCGGUUCGAAGGA